RNAcentral lists this ribosomal RNA (1369 nucleotides) under uncultured bacterium. RNAcentral's name for it is "bacterial SSU rRNA". It matches the Rfam family "Bacterial small subunit ribosomal RNA", at positions 28 to 1381 of the family's 1533-position model. The record is from RNAcentral.
GACGAACGCUGGCGGCGUGCCUAAUACAUGCAAGUAGAACGCUGAAGAGAGGAGCUUGCUCUUCUUGGAUGAGUUGCGAACGGGUGAGUAACGCGUAGGUAACCUGCCUGGUAGCGGGGGAUAACUAUUGGAAACGAUAGCUAAUACCGCAUAAAAUUGAUUAUUGCAUGAUAAUUAAUUGAAAGAUGCAACUGCAUCACUACCAGAUGGACCUGCGUUGUAUUAGCUAGUUGGUGAGGUAACGGCUCACCAAGGCGACGAUACAUAGCCGACCUGAGAGGGUGAUCGGCCACACUGGGACUGAGACACGGCCCAGACUCCUACAGGAGGCAGCAGUAGGGAAUCUUCGGCAAUGGGGGGAACCCUGACCGAGCAACGCCGCGUGAGUGAAGAAGGUUUUCGGAUCGUAAAGCUCUGUUGUAAGAGAAGAACGGGUGUGAGAGUGGAAAGUUCACACUGUGACGGUAUCUUACCAGAAAGGGACGGCUAACUACGUGCCAGCAGCCGCGGUAAUACGUAGGUCCCGAGCGUUGUCCGGAUUUAUUGGGCGUAAAGCGAGCGCAGGCGGUUAGAUAAGUCUGAAGUUAAAGGCUGUGGCUUAACCAUAGUAUGCUUUGGAAACUGUUUAACUUGAGUGCAGAAGGGGAGAGUGGAAUUCCAUGUGUAGCGGUGAAAUGCGUAGAUAUAUGGAGGAACACCGGUGGCGAAAGCGGCUCUCUGGUCUGUAACUGACGCUGAGGCUCGAAAGCGUGGGGAGCAAACAGGAUUAGAUACCCUGGUAGUCCACGCCGUAAACGAUGAGUGCUAGGUGUUAGGCCCUUUCCGGGGCUUAGUGCCGCAGCUAACGCAUUAAGCACUCCGCCUGGGGAGUACGACCGCAAGGUUGAAACUCAAAGGAAUUGACGGGGGCCCGCACAAGCGGUGGAGCAUGUGGUUUAAUUCGAAGCAACGCGAAGAACCUUACCAGGUCUUGACAUCCCUCUGACCGCUCUAGAGAUAGAGUUUUCCUUCGGGACAGAGGUGACAGGUGGUGCAUGGUUGUCGUCAGCUCGUGUCGUGAGAUGUUGGGUUAAGUCCCGCAACGAGCGCAACCCCUAUUGUUAGUUGCCAUCAUUCAGUUGGGCACUCUAGCGAGACUGCCGGUAAUAAACCGGAGGAAGGUGGGGAUGACGUCAAAUCAUCAUGCCCCUUAUGACCUGGGCUACACACGUGCUACAAUGGCUGGUACAACGAGUCGCAAGCCGGUGACGGCAAGCUAAUCUCUGAAAGCCAGUCUCAGUUCGGAUUGUAGGCUGCAACUCGCCUACAUGAAGUCGGAAUCGCUAGUAAUCGCGGAUCAGCACGCCGCGGUGAAUACGUUCCCGGGCCU